Long non-coding RNA from Talpa occidentalis (Iberian mole), 354 nucleotides. RefSeq lists it as uncharacterized. The record is from RefSeq and is a predicted model, not a curated record. The transcript is spliced from 3 exons. NCBI's taxonomy places the organism in Eukaryota, Metazoa, Chordata, Mammalia, Eulipotyphla, Talpidae.
GGCGCCGCAGAGGCCGCGGGCAGCUUCGCAACCCAGCGCUCAACCGCUGAGCCACUGGGGAGGCCCCCUGCAGUCAUAUUUCUAAGGUGGUGAUGAAGAUGAUGCAGCUGUUGCCCGACGGGCACCUGUGAAGAAAGUGGUGGAUGCGGCACUGGACACCGUCAGUGAUAACAUGACGCCCAUGCACAACCACCUUCGGGAAAUCAUCAUCUGCACCUACCGCCAGAGCUUGGAGAGAGCAGAAAACUGAAGCUGUGGGUAAUCUGUGCAGCUGGAGCCCAAGGAGUUGAAAAGGAUUGCUACCCAGGCUUCAAAACACCAGAGGCUCUCCACCUCACACUGGGUGCGUUCUGU